This 459-nucleotide ribosomal RNA is filed under the name uncultured bacterium. Its description in RNAcentral is "partial 16S ribosomal RNA". It matches the Rfam family "Bacterial small subunit ribosomal RNA", at positions 338 to 795 of the family's 1533-position model. The record is from RNAcentral.
CCUACGGGGGGCAGCAGUGAGGAAUAUUGGUCAAUGGACGAGAGUCUGAACCAGCCAAGUAGCGUGAAGGAUGACUGCCCUAUGGGUUGUAAACUUCUUUUAUAUGGGAAUAAAAUGUUCCACGUGUGGGAUUUUGUAUGUACCAUAUGAAUAAGGAUCGGCUAACUCCGUGCCAGCAGCCGCGGUAAUACGGAGGAUCCGAGCGUUAUCCGGAUUUAUUGGGUUUAAAGGGUGCGUAGGCGGACUGUUAAGUCAGCGGUAAAAGCCCGGGGCUCAACCCCGGCGAGCCGUUGAAACUGGCUGUCUUGAGAUGUCGAGAGGUAUGCGGAAUGCGCAGUGUAGCGGUGAAAUGCUUAGAUAUAUGGAAGAACACCAGUGGCGAAGGCGGCUCUCUGGUCUGCAACUGACGCUGAGGCUCGAAAGCAUGGGUAGCGAACAGGAUUAGAUACCCCUGUAGUC